AGGGAGCCACCUCCAGUGAGUACCGUGCGCUGAUGUCAGAGCUGAAGAUCCUCAUCCACGUCGGCCACCAUCUCAAUGUGGUCAACCUGCUGGGGGCCUGCACCAAACCAGGGAAGGAGGAGGCCGCGGUGUGGUCAGUUGGAGCGGAUGGGGGAGGACGUGACUGAGGGGGACCUGGGUUUUGGGACCAGCACCCACCUGGAUAUCUGCACUGGGACAGCAGUCUGCUCCAGACAGGGAGAGGAGAGUGCUGUCAGCCACAAAGAGGAGGAAGGUGGUACUGCAGCUCUAAAUCAUACUAGCCACAUGCAAAUACUGUACAUGUCACCUACAGUGAUCGGAAGUUUACAUACACUUAGGUUGGAGUCAUUAAAACUCAUUUUUCAACCACUCCACACAUUUCUUGUUAACAAACUAUAGUUUUGGCAAGUCGGUUAGGACAUCUACUUUGUGCAUGACACAAGUAAUUUUUCCAACAAUUGUUUACAGACAGAUUAUUUCACUUAUAAUUCACUGUAUCACAAUUCCAGUGGGUCAGAAGUUUACAUACAAAGUUGACUGUGCUGUUCAACAACUUGGAAAAUUCCAGAAAAUGAUGCAUGGCUUUAGAAGCUUCUGAAAGGCUAAUUGACAUCAUUUGAGUCAAUUGGAGGUGUACCUGUGGAUGUAUUUCAAAGCCUACCUUCAAACUCAGUGCCUCUUUGCUUGACAUCAUGGGAAAAUCAAAAGAAAUCAGCCAAGACCUCAGAAAACAAAUUGUAGACUUCCGCAAGUCUGGUUCAUCCUUGGAAGCAAUUUCCAAACGCAUGAAGGUACCAUGUUCAUCUGUACAAACAAUAGUACGCAAGUAUAAACACCAUGCGACCACGCAGCCAUCAUACUGCUCAGGAUGGAGACGCGUUCUGUCUCCUAGAGAUGAAUGUACUUUGGUGUGAAAAGUGCAAAUAAAUCCCAGAACAACAGCAAAGGACCUUGUGAAGAUGCUGGAGGAAACGGGUACAAAAGUAUUUAUAUCCACAGCAAAAUGAGUCCUAUAUCGACAUAACCUGAAAGGGCGCUCAGCAGGGAAGAAGACACUGCUCCAAAACCAUCAGAAAAAAGCCAGACUACGGUUUGCAACUGCACAUGGAGACAAAGAUCAUACUUUUUGGAGAAAUGUCCUCUGGUCUGAUGAAACAAAAAUAGAACUGUUUGUCCAUAAUGACGAUUGUUAAGUUUGGAGGAAAAAGGGGGAAGCUUGCAAGUGGAAGAACACCAUCCCAACCGUGAAGCACAGGGGUGGCAGCAUCAAGUUGUGGGGUGCUUUGCUGCAGGAGGGACUGGUGCAC
This 1328-nucleotide long non-coding RNA is filed under the name Salmo trutta (river trout). RNAcentral describes it as "lncRNA (ENSSTUG00000010470.1)". Lineage: Eukaryota; Metazoa; Chordata; Actinopteri; Salmoniformes; Salmonidae. The record is from RNAcentral.